GAUGAAGAACGCAGCGAAAUGCGAUAAGUAAUGCGAAUUGCAGAAUUCCGUGAGUCAUCGAAUCUUUGAACGCACAUUGCGCCCGUCAGUAUUCUGACGGGCAUGCCUGUCCGAGCGUCAUUUCAACCCUCAAGCACUGCUUGGCGUUGGCGGAUUGCGUGCCCUCGCGGCGCUGCAACCGCCCAAAUACAGUGGCGGUCCCGCUGCGGCUCCCUUUGCGUAGUAACUCACCUCGCACUGGACCGGGCGGCGGCCUGCCGUAAAACCCCAACUCACGAAAUGUUGACCUCGGAUCAGGUAGGAAUACCCGCUGAACUUAAGCAUAUCAAUAAGCGGAGGA
This 340-nucleotide unclassified non-coding RNA is filed under the name soil metagenome. Its description in RNAcentral is "partial contains 5.8S ribosomal RNA, internal transcribed spacer 2, and large subunit ribosomal RNA". The stretch from base 1 to 120 matches the Rfam family "5.8S ribosomal RNA", at positions 35 to 154 of the family's 154-position model. The record is from RNAcentral.